This 85-nucleotide transfer RNA is filed under the name Felis catus (domestic cat). It matches the Rfam family "tRNA". From Rfam's summary of the family: Transfer RNA (tRNA) molecules are approximately 80 nucleotides in length. The record is from Rfam by way of RNAcentral. Lineage: Eukaryota; Metazoa; Chordata; Mammalia; Carnivora; Felidae.
GCCUGGGUGGCUCAGUCGGUUGAGCGUCUGACUUCGGCUCAGGUCACCAUCUCGCGGUCCGUGGGUUCGAGCCCCGUGUCGGGCU